AUUGAACGCUGGCGGCGUGCUUUACACAUGCAAGUCGGACGAGUGGCGAACGGGUGAGUAACGCAUCGGAACGUACCGAGUAAUGGGGGAUAACUGUCCGAAAGGACAGCUAAUACCGCAUAUUAUUCGAGCGGCCGAUGUUUGAUUUGCUGGUUGGCGGGGUAAAGGCCCACCAAGGCGACGAUCAGAAGCGGGUCUGAGAGGAUGAUUCGCAACACUGGGACGAAGACACGGCCCAGACUCGUAAGUGAGGCAGCAGGGGGGAAUUUUGGACAAUGGGCGCAAGCCUAAACCAGCCAAGCCGCGUGUCUGAAGAAGGCCUUCGGGUUGUAAAGGACGUUUGUCAGGGAAGCGGUACCUGAAGAAUAAGCACCGGCUAACUACGUGCCAGCAGCCGCGGUAAUAC
Molecule: ribosomal RNA, 406 nt
Filed under: uncultured bacterium
Lineage: Bacteria
Description: partial 16S ribosomal RNA
Rfam family: Bacterial small subunit ribosomal RNA
Source: RNAcentral